CGCUAGCUACAGGCUUAACACAUGCAAGUCGAGGGGCAGCAUUUCAGUUUGCUUGCAAACUGGAGAUGGCGACCGGCGCACGGGUGAGUAACACGUAUCCAACCUGCCGAUAACUCGGGGAUAGCCUUUCGAAAGAAAGAUUAAUACCCGAUGGCAUAAUUAGACCGCAUGGUCUUAUUAUUAAAGAAUUUCGGUUAUCGAUGGGGAUGCGUUCCAUUAGGCAGUUGGUGAGGUAACGGCUCACCAAACCUUCGAUGGAUAGGGGUUCUGAGAGGAAGGUCCCCCACAUUGGAACUGAGACACGGUCCAAACUCCUACGGGAGGCAGCAGUGAGGAAUAUUGGUCAAUGGACGAGAGUCUGAACCAGCCAAGUAGCGUGAAGGAUGACUGCCCUAUGGGUUGUAAACUUCUUUUAUAUGGGAAUAAAGUUUUCCACGUGUGGAAUUUUGUAUGUACCAUAUGAAUAAGGAUCGGCUAACUCCGUGCCAGCAGCCGCGGUAAUACGGAGGAUCCGAGCGUUAUCCGGAUUUAUUGGGUUUAAAGGGAGCGUAGGUGGACAGUUAAGUCAGUUGUGAAAGUUUGCGGCCCAACCGUAAAAUUGCAGUUGAUACUGGCUGUCUUGAGUACAGUAGAGGUGGGCGGAAUUCGUGGUGUAGCGGUGAAAUGCUUAGAUAUCACGAAGAACUCCGAUUGCGAAGGCAGCUCACUGGACUGCAACUGACACUGAUGCUCGAAAGUGUGGGUAUCAAACAGGAUUAGAUACCCUGGUAGUCCACACAGUAAACGAUGAAUACUCGCUGUUUGCGAUAUACAGUAAGCGGCCAAGCGAAAGCAUUAAGUAUUCCACCUGGGGAGUACGCCGGCAACGGUGAAACUCAAAGGAAUUGACGGGGGCCCGCACAAGCGGAGGAACAUGUGGUUUAAUUCGAUGAUACGCGAGGAACCUUACCCGGGCUUAAAUUGCAUUUGAAUAAUCUGGAAACAGGUUAGCCGCAAGGCAAAUGUGAAGGUGCUGCAUGGUUGUCGUCAGCUCGUGCCGUGAGGUGUCGGCUUAAGUGCCAUAACGAGCGCAACCCUUAUCUUUAGUUACUAACAGGUCAUGCUGAGGACUCUAGAGAGACUGCCGUCGUAAGAUGUGAGGAAGGUGGGGAUGACGUCAAAUCAGCACGGCCCUUACGUCCGGGGCUACACACGUGUUACAAUGGGGGGUACAGAAGGCAGCUACCUGGUGACAGGAUGCUAAUCCCAAAAGCCUCUCUCAGUUCGGAUCGAAGUCUGCAACCCGACUUCGUGAAGCUGGAUUCGCUAGUAAUCGCGCAUCAGCCAUGGCGCGGUGAAUACGUUCCCGGGCCUUGUACACACCGCCCGUCAAGCCAUGAAAGCCGGGGGUACCUGAAGUACGUAACCGCAAGGAGCGUCCUAGGGUAAAACUGGUAAUUGGGG
RNAcentral lists this ribosomal RNA (1443 nucleotides) under uncultured organism. RNAcentral's name for it is "SSU rRNA". It matches the Rfam family "Bacterial small subunit ribosomal RNA". The record is from RNAcentral.